Molecule: long non-coding RNA, 955 nt
Organism: Zea mays
Lineage: Eukaryota; Viridiplantae; Streptophyta; Magnoliopsida; Poales; Poaceae
Exons: 3
Source: RefSeq, a predicted model, not a curated record
UGCAGCAGAUCAUCUCAAGUUCUGGAACCUGUCCUGCCUCAGACUCGUAACCGACGGCGGCGCGUACGUGGAGCCAUCGUGCCGCCUCGCUCCUGCGCUCGCGGCCGACGCGCGCUGCUGCUCCUGCUGCAAGUCGCGUCUCACGGACCAGAGCAACUCGGCGCAGCGCCGCAUUGCUGGACGCGCGGCGCGAUCCGGAGCCGUGCACUCGGCUGCCAGCACCAUCACCUUCUCCACCGCCGCCACGACAGCGCUGGUCCGCCGCAUCCGGGGGUCCAUCACCACCACUGCGAAGCCCUCCCUGCACUUGCGCAGCGCCUGCGCCAGCACGGACAGCAGCAGCUCAGCUUCUACAUGACAGAUGAAUGAAGAAGAAAGGAAGGUCGAGGAGUGAAGCAGUUUGCGCAUGACCCUAAAAUUGCAGCGACUCUUUCCCGGAAUGAUAUUGAGCUCCUGGCCUUCCUGUUGACCAUACGGGAACGAGGUGUAUAGGUAGAAGUCCAAGAGAACCCAGGAUCUGACUGGGACUCGCUGUUGAAGCCAGAGAAACCUCCAUGGCCGGCUGGGGAUGUCCGGUCGCGAGCUGCCUGCAUAGCUGAUGGGAUUCGAAGAUGGCACGACAGCUGCUCGCGCAUAAUCAGGUACCAUGUUCUUCUGAUUCUUAGCUUUUGUACACUCGGAGUUGAUGGAGGAUGGACUGAUUCAAGACUGAUUCAAAUUUUGACUGGGUGCAUACAUCUUUAUUAUCAUAAAAAGGUGGUUGAAAUGGGUUUUCAGGUCAAGCCAAUGGGGGAUUUAUGAUUUAGGAGUAAAUGUACGUAUGACAACUACUGUUCACAAUAGUUUGAUUGGUGGAGGAUGUCACAAUAGGUAUGUUUACAAUUCCACUGCCGGAGACGAAAUUGACCAUGGCAUCGUCCUUUGGCUUGUCCUCUGAAGCGUUCUCUUGAUGUCA